Cimex lectularius (bed bug) is the source of this 894-nucleotide long non-coding RNA. RefSeq lists it as uncharacterized. The transcript is spliced from 3 exons. The record is from RefSeq and is a predicted model, not a curated record. Lineage: Eukaryota; Metazoa; Arthropoda; Insecta; Hemiptera; Cimicidae.
GACUUGAUUAGGGGCGAUAUUUCAUCAAGAUUCCAUUCCGCCAGAAGAAAAACUAGUACUAACUUUGAGAUAUGGAUAAUGUUGGCAUUGCAGAACAAGAGUGUGACAAAAUUGAAAAAUACGUUGGAGAACAAGUUAAAACCUCCAGAACUUCCGUAUCGUGCUGCGAUGUUGCUGCUCGACUGGGAAAGCACUUCUAAACUACAGGAAUGAAGAAGUGUAGAUUUUCGCUGGGCUCGUACAGUGCGUCGAUCGCCGACGACUAUGCCACCAGAAGACCAUCGACUCAUACAGGCAGAAGCGGCCCUGCAGCAGUGGCUUCACGAUCCCCCAUAGCAAGGGAUAAAACGACAAAUAUUGUAAAAGAUAGGGAAUUUUUAUUUAAUUGAGACGACGAUUUUGGACGAUAAACAUUUUUUAAUUCUCAUGAGUAAGGGCUAACUUUCUCGAGGCGCCAUAUUUGUCAGCACUUAUAGAACCAAGAAAUCUUACUUAGAUUCAUAUCUUACAUUAGAUAAGGAGAAACAGCCAAAAGUUUUAUUUUUUACUUAUUUUUGACAAUAUUUUAUUAUGUGACUGCAUUUUUGCACACAAAAAAUAUACAAAAUAGCGUUUUUAAGCUCCUUCCAGUUGUCUUAUCAAAUUUAAAGUCGGAUAAACAUUUCAUGGGAAACAAAGGACUUUAUCGAAAAAAUUAGGAAAUGUUGAACUAACCUGAAAAUUGAAAUAUCUCCAAUGAAAUACAAAAUUUGUGUUUGAACAAUAGGUAAUUUUCAGUUCAAUGGAAAUGUAGGAUAACAUACUGAAGUAUUGUCGUCUCUUCACAGGAUACCCGGCAUUAUAAUUAAUUUCAUGUAAUCAAUUAAUUUCAUGGGUUAUGAGAGGCUUUGUGGA